CCUACGGGAGGCUGCAGUGAGGAAUAUUGGUCAAUGGACGAGAGUCUGAACCAGCCAAGUAGCGUGAAGGAUGACUGCUCUAUGGGUUGUAAACUUCUUUUAUAUGGGAAUAAAAUGUUCCACGUGUGGGAUUUUGUAUGUACCAUAUGAAUAAGGAUCGGCUAACUCCGUGCCAGCAGCCGCGGUAAUACGGAGGAUCCGAGCGUUAUCCGGAUUUAUUGGGUUUAAAGGGAGCGUAGGUGGAUUGUUAAGUCAGUUGUGAAAGUUUGCGGCUCAACCGUAAAAUUGCAGUUGAAACUGGCAGUCGUGAGUACAGUAGAGGUAGGCGGAAUUCGUGGUGUAGCGGUGAAAUGCUUAGAUAUCACGAAGAACUCCGAUUGCGAAGGCAGCUCACUGGACUGCAACUGACACUGAGGCUCGAAAGUGUGGGUAUCAAACAGGAUUAGAUACCCUGGUAGUC
RNAcentral lists this ribosomal RNA (460 nucleotides) under uncultured bacterium. RNAcentral's name for it is "partial 16S ribosomal RNA". It matches the Rfam family "Bacterial small subunit ribosomal RNA", at positions 338 to 795 of the family's 1533-position model. The record is from RNAcentral.